CUCACUUUAAGGACUAUCACAAGAAGAAUGAUAAGCAUAAGAGCUUAUCGAUCGGGUGGAGUGUGACAUAGGCAUUUAUAUCGCUUCUAUUAGGUGGAAACCAUUAUCACUUUGGUUGGGGAGAGUGAUGUGGUGGUAGAUGAUUAUCCCAAUAACUGUGAAUAUGUGCUUCUACAAGGGGUGUUCUUGACCUUAGCCCUUAUGAAACAUUUAUCGUAUGUGUUUCGGGUUUGAAACACGAUGUAUGGUCUGUGAUCCCAAUUUUAUUGGUUACCUUGAUUACUUUGACACCCAAUAAGUUUCGUAUUAUAUUUCAUAUGCCUCAACCAAUGAAUGAAAUAAUUAUCAAUAAGAUCUAAGGACUUAUCUCGGCCCAUUUAUUUGCUUACCAUAAUCCUCUUUUAGUGUGUGAUUUUUGAGUAUGAAAGUGGGAAAAAUGUGUCUUGUUCUUUAUGGGUGUGAUUGAGAAGCAACUGAAGUCAAUAUAUUGGUUGUGGGUUGGAGCCAUUUAGACUGGUUGAUUGGUAGAGAAAGGUAUUGUGAAAUUGAAUCUGAAAACGCCUAUUUGACAAUCCUUGCUAGCUUUCGUAACAAUUGGUAUUAGAGCGUCACAGUGGUGGAUUUGGCUUGACAGAUUUGUUCUUCGUACGUUCGAGAUUCGAUCAUGGUUGCUGUAAUUGUUGAAGACCUUAGGACGAAUAGUGUUAGUUUUCUGUUUUAGGUUAUACAGUGGAAGACAGAUUUGUUCUUCACAUAUUCGGGAUUCGAUUGUGG
RNAcentral lists this long non-coding RNA (774 nucleotides) under Olea europaea subsp. europaea. Lineage: Eukaryota; Viridiplantae; Streptophyta; Magnoliopsida; Lamiales; Oleaceae. The record is from RNAcentral.